This is a long non-coding RNA of Felis catus (domestic cat), 5844 nucleotides long. RefSeq lists it as uncharacterized. The transcript is spliced from 4 exons. NCBI's taxonomy places the organism in Eukaryota, Metazoa, Chordata, Mammalia, Carnivora, Felidae. The record is from RefSeq and is a predicted model, not a curated record.
CUAGAAUCUUACGUAUGCUAAUAAGCUUUUGACUGCAAUUUCGUGGUACGGUAUUUCCUGCUGGCAUCUUGGUGGUCCCACGGAGCUCCCCACCCUCCAGUGAAGGUGGCUGUCCACAACUACCACCGUUGAAACCAAAAUGGCCCCAAAGGGCCCUCAGCAACUCAGGUCACUCCUCUGGCCUCUCCGGAUGGUGCCUCACCUUGUUGACCUGGGACAGUGGGGUCCUCACGGCUCCCGCAGGCAGCCGGCCCCGGCUGCUGUCUUCAAACAGCCUCCCAGGACAGGAAGAGAAAGAGGACAACAAAAGAAAAUCAAGCUUCCUGGUCUCAGUGCAGGUUUUUACUGCCAGAACCUGUGCUAAGCUCUUUAUGUGCUUUGACUCACUACAUUGUCAUGACAGCUCCACAAGCUAAGAGCAGGCAUGACCCUCACAGCAGAGGCGAUGUGGAGACAGGGAGGCUGAGUGCCUGGCCUGAGCUAGGGAGAUGCAGAACUGGGAUUCCGACACAGGUCAGUUUGACAUCCUAAUCCCCACCCAGUAUCCUACUGACCUAAGUAUUUUGCAGAAUCUAUAAGGCACAGAAGGAAGUCUUCAUUUAGGGGAGGAGGCUGUUCAAAGGCCCUUGAUGCAAGGGAGCAAUUUUGAGAAAGCCUGUACACAUCUGCCAAUUCUGUCUCACUCGUUGGCCUGGUGUUUGGUCACCUCUCCUUCCAGGUGGCUUUCCAAGCAUCUUUGUGGCACCCAAUACUGAUGUGAGAGGGAUCAGGCCUGACAGAAUUAGAAAACUGAGCAGGACAAAAACAGUACAGUUGCUCAAAACACGGCCCUGGCCCUGAAGAUUGACAGUUAAUAACCAAACAAUAGAAAACACUGGGGCCUUUUUGUAUGGCCAAUCCAACCCUCCCCCGAGCCCGGCCUGGAUAUUUCGAAUGAAGAUUUCAGCAGGUACGGCCCUAACCACCUCUCUGAAGAAGGGAGAUCCAGAAACAGAACUGAGAGUUAAUUCCUUCCCACCCCAACGAGCAGAAAAAGUACUCAGUCCUCCUCAUCUCAGUAUAAUUAGAGCCAGGAAAAGGGAACCGACUUAACAUGGGCACAUUUUAUGGAGAAUAUUACUUGGAGAACAUGUUUUGAUUGAUUGGAACUUUAUCUCAGAAAAUAAAAGUAGAAAUCGGGCAAGUAAAUUUAUCCUCGUUAUUUUUAAAAUCUAAAUUACAAUUGGAAUUACAGGCUGAUUCUAAGAAUGAGCCAAGUAUGAAUCACAUACUGAUUUAUCUUGCUCUAAUUUUUGCAGCGAAAUUGUAUGCUAAUAUGCUCGAUGACAUACUUUCCAUCAAUGUUGGACUUUUGCAGUAAAAUCAGUCAUUUCUUCAGAAAUGUUUGAGAGAGUCACUGGUUUUCCCAGAGGCCCAUCUUAAUCCUUGAUAUUUAAAUCCUUCUCUUUGGAAGGGGCCAAGUUAGUUGAUUUUUUCUUCAAUUAUUGGUCCAACUACCAGAAUCUCUUUGUCAAUGCUCAUAAUUGAAAACAAAUGAGAAGCAAAGGCACCUACUGGGGGAGGAGAGACUCUAGAGCAAGCUUGAAGGCCAAAUCUGGACAGAUGCCCUGGUUUUAUAAAUAAAGUUUUAUUGGAACACAGCCAUGCCCAUCUGGUUUUGCACUGGUUGUUCGGCUUUCAUACUACAACAAUAGUUGAAUGGUUGAGACAACCAUAUAGCCCACAAUGCCAAAAAUAUUUACUAUCUGGACCUUAACAGAAGUUUGCUGAUUCCUGCUCUACAGUGAAACAGAGAGAGUUUCAUUUCUUGCUCUGCUAAACAGACCAGGGCAAUGAGGCCUGCAGCGAAUCCUAUUCAGCCAAGCUGGGCUUCUACAUUCUGACCUGCCAAAGCAGUCUGCAUGAAAAGAUCAUUUUAGAAGCCAAGAGACAACCAAAGACUAACUGUUGAUUUUCCACACAUGCCUGGCAACAGCAGGAAAGCAACAGCAGUAUUUCUGCCUCUUGUUCAAAGGAACCGGAACCGUUUCCAACCACAGGAAUAAGCAACUUCUUACAGAGACACCAUAUAGUCUCAGAAGGAAAGUGCCUGCCAUCUAAUUAAUGAGGCAGUGGAGGAAAAAAAAAAAAAAAUCUAAUUAUGGUACUUUGAUUUGUUCUUGGCAUGACUUGGAAACUACUUAAAGAAAAUCUGGACGUUUCAGGAUAGAACUGUAGCCCUUUGAACAGUUCCUUCUGAGGCAGGGUCAAGCCAAAAGAGUUGGGAACCGCUGGUUAUUUGGCACUUCUGAUUUUCUAGCAAGUGCCUGGGACUAAAACCACACUGACCAAAAAUUCAGACUAUUAUAUUUCAAUAGAAGAAAAACUAUUCAUUAGGACAUAGUCUCAGAAUAUUAAAUUUAUGAUUUUUUUCAAGAUCUAAGCAUUUUUUAAUAUUAGAGAUAAUUACAAUGUGGUGGAGGGACUAAGUCCCUUGAGAAUAAAAACAUGUCUUCAUCUGUGGAUCCCCAGCCCCAGACAUUGUGUCUAGCACAUGGUAGGGGAUCCAUGUAAUUCUUUACAGAGUAGACAUACCAUUCCAGAAAAAUUUAAAUCCUAGGUCAGUUAAAUAUUCCCCUUAGGUUAAAUAAUCUCAAUUUAUUUGCAGACCAAGAUCUUAAAGUUUAUACAUCAAAGCUCCACAUCGACCUGGAUCUGGCUCACAGCCCUCUGUGUCAAGACCAGGUCAGUCCCACUUCCAUGCACUGCUGAUGGCAUUGCAGAUGGAUCUGGCCUUCAGGGAGGAAUUUUCAGCAAGAUCUAUCAAAAUUACAAACAGACGUCUGAUGUCACCCGUCAAUUUUGUUUCUAGGAAUUUAUCCUACAGAUAGAUUCCUAAGCAUGCAAAAUGACAGAAGCACAAAAUCAUUUAAUUUACUGUAGCAACAGUCUGUAAAUAACCCUAAAAUCCAUUGAUAAAAAAGCAGUUAAAUAAAUCAAGGUCACAUGAAGGAAUGCUAAGUAGGCAUAAAAACAACAAUGAAGAAUACUUCUGAUGCCAACGUGGAGCAGUCUCCAAGGAACAUUAGGUACAAGAAUGUGUGCUGCGCUACCACCUGUAUCAAAAAGAGGAAAAGCACUUCCAGAAUGGUACAGCAAGGAUCGCCGAACACCCGUUCCUCCAUAAAAGCAACAAGAACACUGGCAACAGCCGUCAAAAUAAACUUUUCAGAACUCUGGAAAUUAACCAGACUUGUAAGAACUCUAACAGCAAGGGCAUUUAUGCAAGAAAAAUAACUGAUAAUCCCAGUAAGAACAAGUUUUGUGACAUGUUAAUGUGACCUAUUUCUACCCCCUUUCUCCCCAGAGCUGCAGUUUUGAAACUAAGAGCCCUCUAAGAGCCCUGUAAGAGUAGCCUCUGGAGAGAGAUCAGGAUCGAAACUCCCCAAAAAGCCCCAUCCCCAGAAAACAGUCUGACCUGCAUGGCUACUCCCCAGAAAAGACCAUUUGCAGGGCUUUUUCCUUGACCCAAGUCAGGGCUUGCUCAUGAGAAAAGCCCUAUUCCCAGAUGUUUAUCAAGAACAAUCAACAGCAAGUGUUUAAUCUGCCAAAUACCUGAGGGAGUGCUACCAGUUGGGGAAGAGGCUGGCCAAAACACUCAAAAGGAAAUCUGGGAAUAAGAUGUCUGCAAGGCAUUUUGAAAUGGUCCUUUAUAUUCAUAGGGAUUUAGAAGGCCAUGCACACAGGAAAAACCUGAGAAGGCUUCAGUUCUCAAUUCUGGCUGACUUUGAGCAUUGAAGGUAUGCCCAACACACACGUGCACGCACACACACAAACCCUAAGCAAAAGGUGAGAGACUUACUGAUUCAAUGCAUUGAACAAAAUCUCUGCCCUGUCAUUAGCUGAUAACUAACCUAACCAAGCAGAAACUUGAAUGGCCAGCCCCACGUAACAAAGAAUACAGACUUUACAGAUUUAGUCCAGGAGAGUCACUCAAUAAACAGGAACAACAGGGGCCCUUGGGUGGCUCAGUCGGAUGAGCAGCCAACUCCUGAUUUUGUCUCAGGUCAUGAAUUCUUGGUUCAUGAAUUCAAGUCCGGCAUUAGGCUUUGCACUGUCUGUGCAGAGCCUGCUUGGGAUUCUCUCUCCCUUUCUGCCCGCCUGCCUCAAAAUAAAUAAACAUUAAAAAAAUAACACCAAAAACAGCAACAACAAAAACGGGGGAGAGGUGGGGAACUGAUUUCCAGAGUUGCCACAUUAUAGUAUUUGAAAUGUUCAGCCUCCCAACAAAAAAUUAGAAGACAUGCAAAGAAAGAGGGAAGCAUGGCCCAUACGGAUGGUGUUAUUUCUUCUGGGAAAUCUUCCCUGGUCCCCAAGUCCAAGCUAGGAACCCUGUUCUGGGCUCUCGUGGUGCCUUAAACUACCCCAGUCAGAGGCCCAUCCUUCUAAGCUAGGCUAUAAUUGCCUGAUUGCUCAUUAUGGCCUCUCUCCCACUGGGCUCUAUCAGGGAGGGACUGCAUCUGGUUCUUCAGCACCAUACCUCCUGCAGCAACCCCAAGUAGCAUGGCAGAGUAUCUGCUAAAGCAAUGAAUGCACAAUUCAUGAUUCUAGUGCCACUAAAAAACUCAACAGAGAAAGACCAGACAUUUCCUUCCACCUUUUUCCAAGGGGGCAUUUAAAAAUUCUCCUGAUGCUCGUAAAGGGCACUUUAGUGCUAUAGAUCCCAAAGAAAUGAGUGGCUUGAGCUUGAAGACUGGGAAACCUUUGACCAGUUUAGCAAAAUUUCCUGCUAUCUUACAGAAAAACACUCUGCCUCCUGUAAUGGAGAAGUGUUGUACCUGCGGGAGGUGGAGGGGCCCCGGUGGUGGUCAGUGCCGGACUCCUUCACAAGGUUUCCUUUGCAGCAAAUAACCCUUAAUUUAUCCUGGUAUGAGGACGCCAGGUAAAUCGCUCCUGAGGAAAUUGCAGGGCCCAAGUAGCGUGGGUUCGGGAUUUCCAAAUACGCUCGGGCAGGGGUCCUAUGGAGUUCCAGAUAAGAGUUUACAUUCAGGUUAUCUCCGUUGCUAGAUGGAAUGGAAAGAAACACACACUUGGCCCCAAGCCCCAACCGCCGAGGUUUUCAAAGUCUGAAAGGGCAAUGCUUACCCCAGAGAAGAGCGUGCCUGGAUCUCAAUUACUUCUAGUGAGUUGAAGUGGGUCACAAACAGAUAGGGUUCUCUGUAGGCUGCAUGGCCACCACAGAAGAGCAUGGGCAAGGAAGGGUUAAAAGAGAAACUCAAAACCAGGCUGCAAGGCCACCUUGGACCUAGCAGUCCCACCUAAAGGGAUUUAUCCUACACAUACAUCCAUGUGCCAACAUAAUGAGGCAUGUUCAAGUAUACUCACUGCCAUGUUGUCAGAGCAGACGAUGGGAACCAACUCAAGGGGACAUUAUAGGGGUCAGUUAAAUAAAUUAUGGUACAUCUGUGGAAUUCUGCACAGUUGUAAAACCUGCAAGAAGCUCUCUGUACUGAUACAUAAAAAAACCCUGAAGUGUACAAUUUUAGUGUGAAAAGCAAGAUUCAGAAUGUGUAAAGUGUGUCACCAUACUGAUUUAAACAAAAAGCAUUUUUAAAGUGUGUUGGGGGUAGAUAAGAAUAUAUUUUCUUAUGCGUCUGUAUUUGCACAAAGCACUGGAAGGAUAAGAAACUCAAAGAAGUAUUUUUUCCCCCUUUGGGGGAGAGGGAGUGGAGAAUUAGGGAGACAGGUUAUUUGGGUGAGGCUUUUCAUUGUAUACCUUUUUAAAGAGUUUCAUUGUAUAUGUUUUCAAAAAACAUUAAAGAUCGGGUUCAUAGAUAAUUAAAUUAAACUAGGACUUUGGUAUUA